Molecule: ribosomal RNA, 471 nt
Filed under: uncultured bacterium
Lineage: Bacteria
Description: bacterial SSU rRNA
Rfam family: Bacterial small subunit ribosomal RNA
Source: RNAcentral
AUUGAACGCUGGCGGUAUGCUUAAGACAUGCAAGUCGAACGGAAACGAUAGGAGCUUGCUCCUAGGCGUCGAGUGGCGGACGGGUGAGUAACGCGUGGGAAUCUGCCCAGUAGCGGGGGAUAAGCCAGAGAAAUUUGGUCUAAUACCGCAUACGCCCUACGGGGGAAAGGCUUCGGCCACUAUUGGAUGAGCCCGCGUUAGAUUAGCUAGUUGGUAAGGUAACGGCUUACCAAGGCGACGAUCUAUAGCUGGUCUGAGAGGAUGACCAGCCACAUUGGGACUGAGACACGGCCCAGACUCCUACGGGGAGGCAGCAGUCGGGGAAUAUUGGACAAUGGGGGAAACCCUGAUCCAGUCAUGCCACGUGAGUGAUGAAGGUCUUAGGAUUGUAAAACUCUUUUAGCAGGGAAAAUAAUGAUGGUACCUGCAGAAAAAGUCUCGGCUAACUUCGUGCCAGCCGCCGCGGUAAUU